UUCCGGUUGAUCCUGCCGGACCUGACUGCUAUCGGAUUGAUACUAAGCCAUGCGAGUCUUUGUAGUAAUACAAGGCAGACGGCUCAGUAACACGUAGUCAACCUACCCUAUGGACAAGAAUAAUCUCGGGAAACUGGGCAUAAUUCUUGAUAGAUCAUAAUGCCUGGAAUGGUUUAUGGUUAAAAUGAUUCGUCGCCAUAGGAUGGGACUGCGGCCUAUCAGCUUGUUGGUGAGGUAAUGGCCCACCAAGGCGAUUACAGGUACGGGCUCUGAGAGGAGAAGCCCGGAGAUGGGUACUGAGACACGGACCCAGGCCCUAUGGGGCGCAGCAGGCGAGAAAACUUUGCAAUGUGCGAAAGCACGACAAGGUUAAUCCGAGUGAUUUCUGCUAAAGAAAUCUUUUGCCAGUCAUAAAACCACUGGUGAAUAAGGGGUGGGCAAGUUCAGGUGUCAGCCGCCGCGGUAAAACCAGCACCUCAAGUGGUCAGGAUGAUUAUUGGGCCUAAAGCAUCCGUAGCCGGCUUUGUUAGUUUUCGGUUAAAUCCAUGUGCUCAACGCAUGGGCUGCCGAAAAUACUGCAUGGCUAGGGAGUGGGAGAGGUAGACGGUACUCAGUAGGAAGGGGUAAAAUCCUUUGAUCUAUUGAUGACCACCUGUGGCGAAGGCGGUCUACCAGAACACGUUCGACGGUGAGGGAUGAAAGCUGGGGGAGCAAACCGGAUUAGAUACCCGGGUAGUCCCAGCUGUAAACGAUGCAGACUCGAUGAUGCAUUGGCAUAAUAGCCAGUGCAGUGUCGCAGGGAAGCCGUUAAGUCUGCCACCUGGGAAGUACGUACGCAAGUAUGAAACUUAAAGGAAUUGGCGGGGGAGCACCACAAGGGGUGAAGCCUGCGGUUCAAUUGGAAUCAACGCCGGA
This 915-nucleotide ribosomal RNA is filed under the name uncultured archaeon. RNAcentral's name for it is "bacterial SSU rRNA". It matches the Rfam family "Archaeal small subunit ribosomal RNA", at positions 1 to 922 of the family's 1478-position model. The record is from RNAcentral.